UUUAGCUAUGAAGUAGCUACAUAACCUUGCGAUCAUAAUAAUAACAAAAGCGUCGCGGCUGAGUUUUGUUAUCAAAUAUUGUGUGUGCUCUAAUUCUGUUCCAAUAAAUGCACUGUUUUGUUGUGAUGUGGAAAACGUGAUUUAGCGUACAAUUUUCAAAGAAUGGGCGACAUAAGGGCCGGUCUCGAGGAAUUGAAACUCGACGGGGCCCUUUUCGCCGAUGUUAAAUACUACGUCAGCGGCGAAGGUGAUCCCAAGAUUUUAAAUUUACUACAAGAAGGAGGUGCAGAAAGAUCAAAUUAUUUUAGUGAUUUUGUUACACAUUUAAUAGCAGGCUAUGAUGCGUUGGAAAAUGAUAUAUCUGCUGCAAAGGAUAUCUAUGAAAUACCAGCAGUUACGCAGAAUUGGAUUUUAUAUUCUGUCAAAUGUAACAAACUUUUGCCACCACACUAUUUUUCACCUGAAGAUACACAAUUAUUUUCAAAUGUACGAGCAUGCAUAUCUCAGAUAAGUCGUGCAGACAGUAAGAGUCUAUGGGCGAUGAUCACUUUGCAAGGUGGUAAAUGUCAAUUACGUUUAGAUCGGUAUUGUACACAUUUAAUUACUGGGAAGGCAACUGGAUUGAAAUAUGAAACUGCGAUAAGGCAUCCGAUUCAAAUUGUAACGCCAGAUUGGGUAACAGAAUGCUGUAGAAAAGGAACGAUUGUAAAUGAAGUAGAAUACCACCCAAGACUUUUAAUAUACCCGAAUAGUUCUACAGCUCUUAUUACUGGUUUUAUGGAUGAAGAUACAGAAAAUAGUGCAGCGCAAGAAGAACAAGAUAGAACUAAAGCCAUGUUGGAACAACUUAAACAACGUAUGCCAUGGAAUCAACCAGUUUCAAGUCCACCUGUUUCUUCCAAUACUGCACAUAAUUUGAAUGCUGCUAAUGCACCGGUAACGACGAUUCCUUAUCCAACUAAUGGUCCCAAUAAUGUUAAUAACCAACAACAGCAACAACAUCUUCUACGACCAAUUGCUACGACAAGUUUGUCCAAUGCUUCUACAGUUGCAUCUUCUGUAUCGGAUCAAAAUGUUAAUCAAACAAAUUGGAUACCACAAGGCUCCCAACAAAAUAAUGUUGCUCAAAUAAAAUCUGUGCCGCCACAGCUGCAACAACAACAGCAACAACCACAACCACAACAAGAGUUAUCUCCUCAACAGCAACCACAACAGCAACAAAUGAAUGUACAACAUUCACUAUUACAACAACAACAAUUGAAUCAACAGCAGCAACAACAGUUAUCACAGCAACUUACACAACAUCAACAAUUACAACAACAAACAUACACUCAACAACAGCUUUUAAAUCAACAACCAUCUCCACAACUAGCAUCUCAACAACUCAUAAAUACACAACAACAACCACUCACACAGCAAUCAUUAAUACCACAACAACCACAGAUAAACUCACAAAUACCUCAACAUCAAAUAUCAUCACCUCAACAGUUACUAACCCAACAAAAACAAUUAAAUCAACAUCAAAUACUUUCACAACAACAAAUAAGUCAACAACAUUUAUCACAACAACAACAAAUCACUCCACAGCAACAAUUAGUUCAACAACAAGUGCAAUUAACGCCACAGCAGCAGCAACAGAUAGUUUUGCAGCAACAACAACUUCCUGCACAGCAACAGAUUGGAGCACAACCACAUCAGUUAAAUCAACCACAAGCUCCGCCGCAGCAGCUUACAUCCGAACAGCGGCAGCUCAUAUUACUACAACAACAACAACAGCAGCAACAGAAAAUACAACAAAUUUCACAGCAGCUGCAACAAUCUGCACCUCAGGGUUCACAACAAUUCGUUAUAAGAGACGGUCAGUUACAGCAACAGCCUCAAAAUCAGCAACUAAUGGGACCGAAUCAACAAGGUUUUAUCGUACAAAGAGAUUCUCAGUGGCAGCAACAACAAUAUCAUUUACAAUUGCAACGACAACAGCAACAGCAAAUAGGACCACAAAGACCUAGCGGACAAUGGACACAGCAGCCGCCACAACCGCCAAGGCAGUUGAUUCAACUGGACGCUCAAACCCACCAACAACUGCAGCAGAUGGAUCCUCAACAAAGAGCUCAGUUUAUUCAAAAGAUUCAGAAACAAAGAAACUUGUUGCUGCAGAGACAGAUGCAGAAUCGCCAAGCGCAACCAGGAGCACAUAUCGCUGUUAUAAGGAGUCCGGGUAAACCCGUGCAACCCGGUGGUUUGCAGUGGGUUCAGCAACCACGAUCGCAAAUGAUAGGACCACAAAUUGCUCAAACACCUGGCCAAAAACCGGUACACCCAGUGGUUCAACCACCAGCUUUGACGCCGAUCAACUCUUCUAACCAAGUAAUUGUGCAAACCGGACAAAACGUGCAGGGUCCACAGGCGGGUCAACCCGCCCAGGCGUUUCAGCAAGCUCAGCCUUUAACUCCUCAACACAUAGCGCAAUUACAUAUGCAGAAGCAGCAACAGAUCAGGUUGCAGCAGUUACAGCAUCUACAGCAACAACAACAGCAGCAGCAGCAGCAGCAACAACAACAGCAACAAGGCGCACAGCCAGAACCACCUUUGACUUCAUUGCCGAACAACGCUCAGAUACCGCCAGAUCAGCAGUUGGUUGUUAACGCAAAAACGAAAACUGCCUUAGCGAAUAUGCUGACGAACAGAUUGCAAGGUAGCGCAGCCGAAGGUAGUGCAGCUGGUCAGUUAAGAUUAAUGACCGCUCAACACAGACCACCACCUCCACCGUGCCAGGAUCCUCAACUUCUUGCCGCCUAUCAACGGAGAACUGUGGGGAACAUCGCAAACGGGGCACCACCAGGAGCUCCGAUAAAGAUGCAGUACGCUCCUGUUAUGCCUCAAGCUAAGGCUCAGUUCUAUGGCCACAAUCCAAAUCUAAAACUGCCACCAGAUCUGUUUUUGCUAGGUUGUAUCUUUGUUAUCGUCGAAUACGACGUGCAACGUCCAAACGACGUGUCCGUUUGGAAGCAAGUGAUCGAGAGACAUGGCGGAGAAGUGGAGCCUCAAUAUUGCACGCGGGCUACCCACGUGCUCGCGAUCACGCAGAAACAUCCAACCGUAGUGCAGGCAUUACGUGAAGGGAAACGUUGUGUCAGCGCACACUGGCUGUCAGAUGUUGUCAAUAAACAGCAGGUACUACCACCUUGGCACGCGCUGCAUUUUCCAACGCCAUUCAGCUUGACAGAGCUUCCGUGCGCGAAACAAAUUGUAUCGUUGUCUGGAUUUGAAGGGGAGGAACGCGCGAAAGUGAAGUACAUGCUGGAAGCGCUGGGAGCUAAGGUUACCAAUUACUUCACCAGGCACAAUACGCUCCUCGUUUGCAGAAGACCAGACGGUCAAAAAUACAAAAAGGCUCGAGAAUGGCAAACUGGAGUUGUGAACGCUCAGUGGUUGACGGAUUUGUUGUGCGGGCAAAUGAACGCGCUACAUCAAACCGAAAAUCCAAAAUACCAGCAGUACAGUUUGAGCAAUCCUUUCAGAUUGGAUUAUUCGCUAGUACCUCUUUUAAUGGGUGCAUGGAAAAUGCCAAUAAAUAUUACUCAGGAAUCAUACGAUAAAGUAAAACAGGUUGGUCAGGGUCCAAAUUCGAUACGAAAAUACAAGAAGCCACGGUUAGAUGUCCCGUUGCUGAAUAAAGAUCCACAUUUAUUGGGCUUAGAUGAACCAAUUGUUGUGAGCAAUCCUGAUCCACCGGCUCCAGAUAAACAACCGAGAAUAUUAUUCUCUGGUAUUAAUCCUAGGAAGCAUGCGAAGAGAAUUCGGGAGUUAGGUGGUGCGCUGGCAGCCAGUUGGAGAGAUGCAACUCAUCUCGUGAUGUCAACACCUUUGAGAACUGUAAAGUUAUUGUGUUGUCUAUCACGUUGUAAAUAUAUUGUCACGUUACAGUGGUUAUUAGAUUGUUCCGCAAGGAACACGUUUUUAGAUGAAAGCGGUUACACGCUUGGAAAUCCAGAAUUCGAAAAGAAUUUUGCUUGUAAUAUUGAAAAGGCUCUGGCGAGCCCCAAUCGAGGAACAGUACUUAAGAUACUUGUUAAUAGACUUUUGGAUAUCAAUAAUUACUGUCUAAAAAUAAUUGAAUUGAUCUAUAAUCAUUAAUGAUUACUGUGUAAGUCAAUUUAAUUCAUUACUAUCGUUUUAUGAAGCGAUGAUACUACUGGUCUGCAAGCGGUAGGGUAAAAUAUUUUAUGUUACACCAAGUGUAAUACCUUCGCCACCAGCGAUGGCAGAAAUAAUCGAAAGU
Molecule: unclassified non-coding RNA, 4282 nt
Filed under: Megachile rotundata (alfalfa leafcutting bee)
Lineage: Eukaryota; Metazoa; Arthropoda; Insecta; Hymenoptera; Megachilidae
Description: pAX-interacting protein 1, transcript variant X3
Source: RNAcentral